GAUGAAGAACGUAGCGAAAUGCGAUAAGUAAUGUGAAUUGCAGAAUUCAGUGAAUCAUCGAAUCUUUGAACGCACAUUGCGCCCUUUGGUAUUCCGAAGGACAUGCCUGUUCGAGCGUCAUUUCACCACUCAAGCCUGGCUUGGUAUUGGGCGCCGCGGUCGAUCCGCGCGCCUCAAAGUCUCCGGCUGAGCUGUCCGUCUCUAAGCGUUGUGAUUUCAUUAAUCGCUUCGGAGUGCGGGCGGCCGCGGCCGUUAAAUCUUUCACAAGGUUGACCUCGGAUCAGGUAGGGAUACCCGCUGAACUUAAGCAUAUCAAUAAGCGGAGGA
Molecule: unclassified non-coding RNA, 327 nt
Filed under: soil metagenome
Description: partial contains 5.8S ribosomal RNA, internal transcribed spacer 2, and large subunit ribosomal RNA
Rfam family: 5.8S ribosomal RNA (bases 1-120)
Source: RNAcentral